CCUACGGGGUGCUGCAGUCGAGAAUCAUUCACAAUGGGGGAAACCCUGAUGGUGCGACGCCGCGUGGGGGAAUGAAGGUCUUCGGAUUGUAAACCCCUGUCAUGUGGGAGCAAAUGAAAAAGAUAGUACCACAAGAGGAAGAGACGGCUAACUCUGUGCCAGCAGCCGCGGUAAUACAGAGGUCUCAAGCGUUGUUCGGAAUCACUGGGCGUAAAGCGUGCGUAGGCUGUUUCGUAAGUCGUGUGUGAAAGGAGCGGGCUCAACCCGCGGAGGGAACAGGAUACUGGGAGACUAGAGUGAUGGAGGGGGAACGGGAAGUUGUGGUGGAGCGGUGAAAUGCGAAGAU
Molecule: ribosomal RNA, 346 nt
Filed under: uncultured bacterium
Lineage: Bacteria
Description: partial 16S ribosomal RNA
Rfam family: Bacterial small subunit ribosomal RNA
Source: RNAcentral